GACGAACGCUGGCGGCGUGCUUAACACAUGCAAGUCGAACGGAAAGGCCCUGCUUUUGUGGGGUGCUCGAGUGGCGAACGGGUGAGUAACACGUGAGUAACCUGCCCUUGACUUUGGGAUAACUUCAGGAAACUGGGGCUAAUACCGGAUAGGAGCUCCUGCUGCAUGGUGGGGGUUGGAAAGUUUCGGCGGUUGGGGAUGGACUCGCGGCUUAUCAGCUUGUUGGUGGGGUAGUGGCUUACCAAGGCUUUGACGGGUAGCCGGCCUGAGAGGGUGACCGGCCACAUUGGGACUGAGAUACGGCCCAGACUCCUCCGGGAGGCAGCAGUGGGGAAUAUUGCACAAUGGGCGGAAGCCUGAUGCAGCAACGCAGCGUGCGGGAUGACGGCCUUCGGGUUGUAACCCGCUUUCGCCUGUGACGAAGCGUGAGUGACGGUAAUGGGUAAAGAAGCACCGGCUAACUACGUG
Molecule: ribosomal RNA, 468 nt
Filed under: uncultured bacterium
Lineage: Bacteria
Description: partial 16S ribosomal RNA
Rfam family: Bacterial small subunit ribosomal RNA
Source: RNAcentral